GUUUGAGUAAAGUUCCAUCACUCACGAUAAGAAGACUCCUGACCAGUCUAAAGAAGUAAUAGAAGUAGUCCAUGUGCAGAGAUGCUGUUCAUCGGGCUUUAGGAGCAGUCCCCAGGACAGCUUAACCAUAAAUGUGUGCCUGGAGACGACAGAGGAGGAGGAAGAAAAGGGUGGAGAAGAUUAUCCAGAACUUCGCAAUUUUGGAUCGGGUACAAAACAGGCUGCUAUUGCAUGGGAGAGAAUUGCUUCACUGUUUUCCACUUCAUAUCAACAAAUCCUUAUGUGUAUUUGUAAUUUCAUCAUUUUUUGAGUUUGCUUAGCUUUUGCCUUGGGUUCCCUUGACCGAUGCUAACUUUUAAUAUUAGGCUUUUUAAAAAGCCUACAUGAAAAUGUACUUAAAACAGAGGAGAAAAAAAGCAUAUACAUACCUAUAUCUCUGAAUCCAUAUUAAGAUCUCUUAACAAAUCCAGAUUUCAACACUUACUUAAAAUGUGAUCAAACAAAAUAUACCUGAUAAUGCAAAAUAGAGAAGACAUUAUGUGGCUAUCUUGCUGUCAGUCAAAAGUUAGUAAACUUAGGUUUAAAUCCAGGAAGAAAGAUACAGUACAGGAAUGGGCAGUCGUGUUCUGAUAAAUCAGCUUUCUAAAUAAAUAAAUAAAUUUA
Long non-coding RNA from Hyaena hyaena (striped hyena), 663 nucleotides. RefSeq lists it as uncharacterized. The transcript has 3 exons. The record is from RefSeq and is a predicted model, not a curated record. NCBI's taxonomy places the organism in Eukaryota, Metazoa, Chordata, Mammalia, Carnivora, Hyaenidae.